CUCUGCAGUAGAACCUGAAUGCUUGGUACUUCAGCUUAAAAAAAGAUCUCAGAGUCUAGUAUCAGGUAAUUUUCAGAAUCUUCCUAUGAUGAUUCAAAUGAAAGCAAUUCGGUUUCCUGGCAUGCUGCUGGCAUAGUGCCCAAGUUUCAGAGGCAUACAACAAUGAGUUCAGCACAAUGGCUUUGUAGAACUUCAGUUUGGUAGGGAGCCUAAUACCGCCUCUCUCCUUACUUUCUUUUGGAAACUCUCAAACACUGGGUUAGCUUUGGAAAUGCAUCCAUCAGUCUUAUCAUCUAUGGAAAACAUACUGUCAAGCCUUCCCUUCAAGUCAGCAACAAAAUGUUGGAGAAGCACUCUGAUUUGUUGACAUUGAGUCUUCUGAUAAUCUUCUUGCUUUGGAGCCACCAAAUUUGUUUAAUAGUCACUGAAGUCCAAUAGCAAAACAAAAGUUAAGAUGACUGGUGGUGGCUCAGGAUGCAAUGGAUGACCUUGGUGUCUUCAAUAUCUGACCAAGAUCUAAGGUCUGCUUCAGCUAUUUUCACAGUCCAUUGAAACAAAUUGUUCUCAUUCACCCAGUCUGCUGGGGAAGUCUGCAUAUACCUUGGGUAGUCACACUCCACCCCUAAUUUGAUGCUUAUAAAACAAAGAGCUGGAAAAUGAAAUAAAUACUAUGUAGAAUAGAAAGGCUAGUUUGACUGGAAAAUAUAGUGUGUGUGUAUGGGGGAAGUAUUAUGGAAUCAGUCUUGAACUAUUGAGUGAACUCUAAUUACAAAGAAUUUAAAAUAUCGGAUAUGCUGAUUUUUCUUGUGCAGCAUGAUAAAUGUGGAAAUACGUUUAAAAGCACAUGUUUAAUCUAUAUUAGAUUACUUAUUGUCUAGGGGAGGAGAAGGGGGAAAGGGAGGAAGAAAACUUGGAACGUAAGAUUUUGCAAGGGUGAAUAUUAAAAACAAUCUUUGCAUAUAGUUUGAAAUAAAAAGCUAUUAUUUAAAAAAAAAUAAAAUGUGAGAUAUAGGAAUUUGCUUAUCCUAAACACAAAUGGGAAUUGCUGCAGUUUCUGGAACAGAGAGUACACUAUAUGACAUGUCAACUGGAUUGGAACUGGCUUGGCUAGAGCCACACAAAGUAAGUCAGAGACAAAAGAGUCACAAAUAUAAGUAUAAUUAAUUUCAGAGUGAGGAAAAGGACAUUUACAGAUUUAAGUACAAUCUGUACUCCUAAA
This is a long non-coding RNA of Antechinus flavipes (yellow-footed antechinus), 1219 nucleotides long. RefSeq lists it as uncharacterized. Lineage: Eukaryota; Metazoa; Chordata; Mammalia; Dasyuromorphia; Dasyuridae. The transcript has 3 exons. The record is from RefSeq and is a predicted model, not a curated record.